AGUAAAAUGACUGAAUUAUAGGUGAUAAAUUGUAAAUUUAUUGAUGAAUAAAAAUCUUUUACUA
Molecule: transfer RNA, 64 nt
Filed under: Allothyrus sp. B613
Lineage: Eukaryota; Metazoa; Arthropoda; Arachnida; Holothyrida; Allothyridae
Description: tRNA-Tyr
Source: RNAcentral